Xenopus tropicalis (tropical clawed frog) is the source of this 72-nucleotide small nucleolar RNA. Its record names the gene SNORD58. It matches the Rfam family "Small nucleolar RNA SNORD58". Rfam says of the family: snoRNA U58 is found in introns 1, 3 and 6 of the ribosomal protein RPL17 gene in humans. U58 is a member of the C/D class of snoRNA which contain C (UGAUGA) and D (CUGA) box motifs. The record is from Ensembl. NCBI's taxonomy places the organism in Eukaryota, Metazoa, Chordata, Amphibia, Anura, Pipidae.
CUGCAAUGAUGUUGUUAUUCUUAGGAGACCUUCAGAUUUAUAGAUGAAAAGAAAUAAAGAAUUCUGAGCAGC